This 497-nucleotide ribosomal RNA is filed under the name uncultured bacterium. Its description in RNAcentral is "partial 16S ribosomal RNA". It matches the Rfam family "Bacterial small subunit ribosomal RNA", at positions 28 to 507 of the family's 1533-position model. The record is from RNAcentral.
GAUGAACGCUGGCGGCGUGCCUAAUACAUGCAAGUCGAGCGAACAGACGAGGAGCUUGCUCCUCUGACGUUAGCGGCGGACGAGUGAGUAACAAGUGGAUAACCUACCUAUAAGACUGGGAUAACAUCGGGAAACCGGAGCUAAUACCGGGUAAUAUAUUGAACCGCAUGCUUCAAUAGUGUAAGACGGUUUUGCUGUCACUUAUGGAUGGAUCCGCGCCGCAUUAGCUAGUUGGUAAGGUAACGGCUUACCAAGGCAACGAUGCGUAGCCGACCUGAGAGGGUGAUCGGCCACCCUGGAACUGAGACACGGUCCAGACUCCUACGGGAGGCAGCAGUAGGGAAUCUUCCGCCAUGGGCGAAAGCCUGACGGAGCAACGACGCGGGAGUGAGGAAGGUCUUCGGAUCGUAAAACUCUGUUAUUAGGGAAGAACAAAUGUGUAAGUAACUAUGCACGUCUUGACGGUACCUAAUCAGAAAGCCACGGCUAACUACGUG